Long non-coding RNA from Gasterosteus aculeatus aculeatus (three-spined stickleback), 733 nucleotides. The record is from Ensembl. Lineage: Eukaryota; Metazoa; Chordata; Actinopteri; Perciformes; Gasterosteidae.
UUUUCCGAUAAUCCGUCUGUACGUUCUAUACUUUCACACAGCGGAUCUACUUUAAGCAUCUUCCUCUUCUGGUGGUUUCUCAUGACUUCCUGUUUGAAGAAACUGAUCAAUGUCCAACGUGAAUUUCUCUUCUCAGUGGACAAAUGGAGUGUUUGAUGAAGAAUAGAGGUCAUCUAGGAGCAAUUCAUACACAAAAGGCUCAAUUCCCAAUUAAUUAUUUAGGCAGAACCAGAGGUGUCAAACUCAAUCGGGAUGAGGACCAACUUGAUGAAUUAGGAACGGACCCAAAGAUGGCGGCGUCAUGGCAACUGAGCUGCAAAUGCAGAUAUUUUGGCUUUUCAUAGGCUUAGUCGGCAUGAAUCUGUCACCGAAGUGCAGCACAGACUUUGUUUUUAAGUCACUUGAUUCGCCGUCGGUUGGGUCCGAAGACUUCAAAUAAGAAAUCGAUAAAAAUGAAAUAACAACCUGUGUGGAGUGUGAAAGAAGCGAGACGUCUGUCCCUCGCCGCUCAUCUGCAGCCCAGAGUCUCCGACCGCGUCGGCCUACGUUUUUUGGGGAGACAGCGAGAGCAGGAGGAGGAGGAGGAGGAGAUUGGAGGAGGAAGAUAUGUGAGGGGAGCGAAAAAAGGGAAAGUGAGAAGAACUGCAGGAAGAGAGUGUUUCGAAAUUAUACAAGAGAAUAAUUCUGAUGAUUUUAUUUUGACUUUCAGUUCGUUUAGAUAAAUGAAAAGGAG